RNAcentral lists this ribosomal RNA (497 nucleotides) under uncultured bacterium. Its description in RNAcentral is "partial 16S ribosomal RNA". It matches the Rfam family "Bacterial small subunit ribosomal RNA", at positions 28 to 507 of the family's 1533-position model. The record is from RNAcentral.
GAUGAACGCUGGCGGCGUGCCUAAUACAUGCAAGUCGAGCGAACAGAUAAGGAGCUUGCUCCUUUGAAGUUAGCGGCGGACGGGUGAGUAACACGUGGGUAACCUACCUAAAAGACUGGGAUAACUUCGGGAAACCGGAGCUAAUACCGGAUAACAUUUAGAACCGCAUGGUUCUAAAGUGAAAGAUGGUUUUGCUAUCACUUAUAGAUGGACCCGCGCCGUAUUAGCUAGUUGGUAAGGUAACGGCUUACCAAGGCGACGAUACGUAGCCGACCUGAGAGGGUGAUCGGCCACACUGGAACUGAGACACGGUCCAGACUCCUACGGGAGGCAGCAGUAGGGAAUCUUCCGCAAUGGGCGAAAGCCUGACGGAGCAACGCCGCGUGAGUGAUGAAGGGUUUCGGCUCGUAAAACUCUGUUAUUAGGGAAGAACAAAUGUGUAAGUAACUGUGCACAUCUUGACGGUACCUAAUCAGAAAGCCACGGCUAACUACGUG